UUUCCGUAGGUGAACCUGCGGAAGGAUCAUUAUCAUGUAAUUCAGUCCCCUUGGCUGUGUUAUAUAUAUACCCACUCGGUGUACCUUCUCCUGUUGCUUCCGCUGGGUGUGUAAUUCGCCCGGCGGAAGGGUAAAAAUAACCUCUGAGUAUUGAUGAAAUCUCUGUCUGAACCGAAUAGAAAGAAAAAUGUUAAAACUUUCAGCAACGGAUCUCUUGGUUCUC
RNAcentral lists this unclassified non-coding RNA (223 nucleotides) under plant metagenome. RNAcentral's name for it is "partial contains small subunit ribosomal RNA, internal transcribed spacer 1, and 5.8S ribosomal RNA". The record is from RNAcentral.